UGGGGAAUAUUGCACAAUGGGCGCAAGCCUGAUGCAGCCAUGCCGCGUGUAUGAAGAAGGCCUUCGGGUUGUAAAGUACUUUCAGCGGGGAGGAAGGGAGUAAAGUUAAUACCUUUGCUCAUUGACGUUACCCGCAGAAGAAGCACCGGCUAACUCCGUGCCAGCAGCCGCGGUAAUACGGAGGGUGCAAGCGUUAAUCGGAAUUACUGGGCGUAAAGCGCACGCAGGCGGUUUGUUAAGUCAGAUGUGAAAUCCUCGGGCUCAACCUUGGAACUGCAUCUGAUACUGGCAAGCUUGAGUCUCGUAGAGGGGGGUAGAAUUCCAGGUGUAGCGGUGAAAUGCGUAGAGAUCUGGAGGAAUACCGGUGGCGAAGGCGGCCCCCUGGACAAAGACUGACGCUCAGGUGCGAAAGCGUGGGGAGCAAACAGG
RNAcentral lists this ribosomal RNA (429 nucleotides) under Chloroflexota bacterium. RNAcentral describes it as "Chloroflexi bacterium partial 16S ribosomal RNA". It matches the Rfam family "Bacterial small subunit ribosomal RNA", at positions 355 to 776 of the family's 1533-position model. Lineage: Bacteria; Bacillati; Chloroflexota. The record is from RNAcentral.